This 465-nucleotide ribosomal RNA is filed under the name uncultured bacterium. RNAcentral's name for it is "bacterial SSU rRNA". It matches the Rfam family "Bacterial small subunit ribosomal RNA", at positions 330 to 793 of the family's 1533-position model. The record is from RNAcentral.
CCCAGACUCCUACGGGAGGCAGCAGUGAGGAAUAUUGGUCAAUGGGCGAGAGCCUGAACCAGCCAAGUCGCGUGAGGGAAGACGGUCCUAUGGAUUGUAAACCUCUUUUGCCGGGGAGCAAAAAGCGGUACGUGUACCGCAUCGAGAGUACCCGGAGAAAAAGCAUCGGCUAACUCCGUGCCAGCAGCCGCGGUACUACGGAGGAUGCGAGCGUUAUCCGGAUUUAUUGGGUUUAAAGGGUGCGCAGGCGGGGGGUAAAGUGCGGGUAAAAUUUUGGGGGCACAACCCGGCCGAGCCGUUGAAACUGGCUUGCUAGAGUGGGCGAGAAGUAUGCGGAAUGCGUGGUGUAGCGGUGAAAUGCAUAGAUAUCACGCAGAACUCCGAUUGCGAAGGCAGCAUACCGGCGCCCAACUGACGCUCAGGCACGAAAGCGUGGGUAUCGAACAGGAUUAGAUACCCCGGUAA